GGGAAUGUGGCUUAGUGGUAGAGUACUUGCCUAGCAUGCAUGAAGCCCUGAGUUUGAUUCUUCAGUACCA
Molecule: transfer RNA, 70 nt
Filed under: Dipodomys ordii (Ord's kangaroo rat)
Lineage: Eukaryota; Metazoa; Chordata; Mammalia; Rodentia; Heteromyidae
Rfam family: tRNA
About the family: Transfer RNA (tRNA) molecules are approximately 80 nucleotides in length.
Source: Rfam by way of RNAcentral